Molecule: ribosomal RNA, 262 nt
Filed under: uncultured bacterium
Lineage: Bacteria
Description: partial 16S ribosomal RNA
Rfam family: Bacterial small subunit ribosomal RNA
Source: RNAcentral
GGGGAAGUAUUGCGUCAUGGGCAGGAAGACUCGACGCAGCGACGCCGCGUGUGGGAUGACGGCCUUCGGGUUGUAAACCACUGUCGGGAGGGACGAAUGCGCCGCAAGGCGAGUGACGGUACCUCCAAAGGAAGCACCGGCUAACUCCGUGCCAGCAGCCGCGGUAAUACGGAGGGUGCGAGCGUUGUCCGGAAUCACUGGGCGUAAAGGGCGCGUAGGCGGCCUGGUAAGUAGGGGUGGAAUCAUGCGCUUGACCGCAUAC